GCCAGACUCCUACGGGAGGCAGCAGUGAGGAAUAUUGGUCAAUGGUCGGGAGACUGAACCAGCCAAGCCGCGUGAGGGAGGAAGGUACAGAGUAUCGUAAACCUCUUUUGUCAGGGAACAAAGACUGGGACGCGUCCCCGGAUGAGUGUACCUGAAGAAAAAGCAUCGGCUAACUCCGUGCCAGCAGCCGCGGUAAUACGGAGGAUGCGAGCGUUAUCCGGAUUUAUUGGGUUUAAAGGGUGCGCAGGCGGAGGUGCAAGUCAGCGGUCAAAUUGCGGGGCUCAACCCCGUACUGCCGUUGAAACUGGCGUUCUUGAGUGGGCGAGAAGUAUGCGGAAUGCGUGGUGUAGCGGUGAAAUGCAUAGAUAUCACGCAGAACUCCGAUUGCGAAGGCAGCAUACCGGCGCCCAACUGACGCUGAAGCACGAAAGCGUGGGUAUCGAACAGGAUUAGAUACCCGCGUA
This 464-nucleotide ribosomal RNA is filed under the name uncultured bacterium. Its description in RNAcentral is "bacterial SSU rRNA". It matches the Rfam family "Bacterial small subunit ribosomal RNA", at positions 330 to 792 of the family's 1533-position model. The record is from RNAcentral.